Molecule: ribosomal RNA, 468 nt
Filed under: uncultured bacterium
Lineage: Bacteria
Description: partial 16S ribosomal RNA
Rfam family: Bacterial small subunit ribosomal RNA
Source: RNAcentral
GAUGAACGCUGGCGGCGUGCUUAACACAUGCAAGUCGAACGGUGAAGGCGGAGCUUGCUCUGCUGGAUCAGUGGCGAACGGGUGAGUAACACGUGAGCAAUCUGCCCCUGACUCUGGGAUAAGCGCUGGAAACGGCGUCUAAUACUGGAUACGAGCUGCGAAGGCAUCUUCAGCAGCUGGAAAGAAUUUCGGUCAGGGAUGAGCUCGCGGCCUAUCAGCUUGUUGGUGAGGUAAUGGCUCACCAAGGCGUCGACGGGUAGCCGGCCUGAGAGGGUGAUCGGCCACACUGGGACUGAGACACGGCCCAGACUCCUACGGGAGGCAGCAGUGGGGAAUAUUGCACAAUGGGCGAAAGCCUGAUGCAGCAACGCCGCGUGAGGGACGACGGCCUUCGGGUUGUAAACCUCUUUUAGCAGGGAAGAAGCGAAAGUGACGGUACCUGCAGAAAAAGCGCCGGCUAACUACGUG